RNAcentral lists this ribosomal RNA (1764 nucleotides) under Firmicutes bacterium ADurb.Bin099. Its description in RNAcentral is "bacterial LSU rRNA". It matches the Rfam family "Bacterial large subunit ribosomal RNA", at positions 1088 to 2856 of the family's 2925-position model. The record is from RNAcentral. Lineage: Bacteria; Bacillati; Bacillota.
GACAACUAGGAUGUUGGCUUAGAAGCAGCCACUCAUUCAAAGAGUGCGUAAUAGCUCACUAGUCGAGUGGGCCUGCGCCGAAGAUUAACGGGUCUAAAACCGUAUACCGAAGCUAUGGAUACAUAUCGUUGAUAUGUGUGGUAGGGGAGCGUGCCGCAGUAGGCAGAAGCACCACCGAAAGGAGGUGUGGACGAAACGGCAGUGAGAAUGCCGGAAUGAGUAGCGAAAGUGAAGUGAGAAUCUUUACCAUCGAAAAUCCGAGGUUUCCUGGGCAAGGCUCGUCCUCCCAGGGUUAGUCGGGACCUAAGCCGAGGCCGAAAGGCGUAGGUGAUGGACAACACGUAGAAAUUCGUGUACCGCCGAUGUCUGCUUGAGAGAAGUGGGGACGCAGAAGGAUAGCGUGAGCCGGCCGCCGGAAGAGCCGGUUCAAGCGUUGAGGGUAUCGUGUAGGCAAAUCCGCACGAUGUUAAGCCUGAGACGUUACGGGGAGGGAAAUACAAGUACCGAAGCAUGCGAGUCCACGCUGACGAGAAAAGCCACUAUUGAGGACAUAGGCGCCCGUACCGCAAACCGACACAGGUGGAUGAGGAGAGGAUCCUAAGAUGAGCGGAAUAAGCAUUGUUAAGGAACUCGGCAAAUUGGCCCCGUACGUUCGCAAUAAGGGGCGCUUGAGAGAUCAAGCCGCAGUGAAAUGGCCCAAGCAACUGUUUACCAAAAACACAGGUCUCUGCUAAAUCGAAAGAUGAAGUAUAGGGGCUGACGCCUGCCCAGUGCUGGAAGGUUACGGGGAUUCGUUAGCGCAAGCGAAGCGAUGAACUUAAGCCCCAGUAAACGGCGGCCGUAACUAUAACGGUCCUAAGGUAGCGAAAUUCCUUGUCAGGUAAGUUCUGACCCGCACGAAUGGCGUAAUGAUUUGGGCGCUGUCUCAACAAUGCAUCCGGUGAAAUUGUAGUACUCGUGAAGAUGCGAGUUACCCGCGACUAGACGGAAAGACCCCAUGGAGCUUUACUGUAACCUGAUAUUGGGUUCUGGCAUUUCUUGUACAGGAUAGGUGGGAGGCGUUGAAACUUGUGCGUCAGCAUAAGCGGAGCCGACGUUGGGAUACCACCCUGGAGAUGCCGGGAUUCUAACCGUAAGCCGUAAUCCGGUUUCGGGACACUGUCAGGCGGGCAGUUUGACUGGGGCGGUCGCCUCCAAAAGAGUAACGGAGGCGUUCGAAGGUUGCCUCAGCACGGACGGAAAUCGUGCGUAGAGUAUAAAGGCAGAAGGCAGCUUAACUGAGAGACAAACAGGUCGAUCAGGUACGAAAGUAGGACUUAGUGAUCCGGCGGUAUGAGAGUGGAAUUGCCGUCGCUCAACGGAUAAAAGUUACCCUGGGGAUAACAGGCUGAUUUCCCCCAAGCGUUCACAGCGACGGGGAAGUUUGGCACCUCGAUGUCGGCUCAUCACAUCCUGGAGGUGGAGAAGCUUCCAAGGGUUCGGCUGUUCGCCGAUUAAAGUGGUACGCGAGCUGGGUUCAGAACGUCGUGAGACAGUUCGGUCCCUAUCUGUCGUGGGCGCAGGAUAUUUGAGAGGGUCUGUCCCUAGUACGAGAGGACCGGGAUGGGGGCUCCUAUGGUGCAUCGGUUGUCACGCCAGUGGCACAGCCGGGUAGCCAAGAGCCUUUCGGAUAAGCGCUGAAGGCAUCUAAGCGCGAAGCCAUCCUCAAGAUUAGAUAUCCCAUCCAGUUAAUGGAGUAAGGCCCCAUGUAGACUACAUGGUUGA